AGUGAACGCUGGCGGUAGGCCUAACACAUGCAAGUCGAACGACAGCACAGUAAGAGCUUGCUCUUACGGGUGGCGAGUGUCGGACGGGUCACUAAUACAUCGGAUUCUUCUUUUUCGUGGGUGAUAACGUAGGGAAACUUACGCUAAUACCGCAUACGUCCUACGGGUGAAUGCAGGGGUUCUUCGGACUUUUCGCGAUUGUAUGAGCCGAUGUCGGAUUAGCUAGUUGGCGGGGUAAAGGCCCACCAAGGCGACGAUCCGUAGUUGGUCUGACAGGAUGAACAGACACAUGGGAACUGAGACAGGGUCCAGACUCCUACGGGAGGAAGCAGUGGGGAAUAUUGAGCAAGGGGCGAAAGCCUGAUAGAGCAAAACCGCGUGAGUGAUGAAGGACUUCGGGUUGUAAAGCCCUGUUGUUGGGAAAGAAGAAAAGCGGGUUUAAACCGGGCUGUAAUGACGGUACCGAAAGAAUAAGCACCGGCUAACUCCGUG
Molecule: ribosomal RNA, 492 nt
Filed under: uncultured bacterium
Lineage: Bacteria
Description: partial 16S ribosomal RNA
Rfam family: Bacterial small subunit ribosomal RNA
Source: RNAcentral